Molecule: ribosomal RNA, 470 nt
Filed under: Streptococcus pneumoniae
Lineage: Bacteria; Bacillati; Bacillota; Bacilli; Lactobacillales; Streptococcaceae
Description: bacterial SSU rRNA
Rfam family: Bacterial small subunit ribosomal RNA
Source: RNAcentral
GAGGACACAAGAGAUUGUGUUGUUUUAACCUUUGGUUAGACACAGAUACAGGUGGUGCAUGGUUGUCGUCAGCUCGUGUCGUGAGAUGUUGGGUUAAGUCCCGCAACGAGCGCAACCCUUAUAUCUAGUUGCCAGCAGUAAGAUGGGGACUCUAGAUAGACUGCCAGUGAUAAACUGGAGGAAGGUGGGGAUGACGUCAAAUCAUCAUGCCCCUUAUGACUUGGGCUACACACGUGCUACAAUGGAUAGGAACAAAGAGAAGCGAGCUCGCGAGAGUCAGCCAACCUCAUAAAACUAUUCUCAGUUCGGAUUGUAGUCUGCAACUCGACUACAUGAAGCUGGAAUCGCUAGUAAUCGCGAAUCAGAAUGUCGCGGUGAAUACGUUCCCGGGUCUUGUACACACCGCCCGUCACACCACGAGAGUUUGUAACACCCGAAGACGGUGGCCUAACCUAUAAGGAGGGAGCCGG